This 443-nucleotide ribosomal RNA is filed under the name uncultured bacterium. Its description in RNAcentral is "partial 16S ribosomal RNA". It matches the Rfam family "Bacterial small subunit ribosomal RNA", at positions 338 to 795 of the family's 1533-position model. The record is from RNAcentral.
CCUACGGGCGGCAGCAGUGGGGAAUAUUGGGCAAUGGGCGCAAGCCUGACCCAGCAACGCCGCGUGAAGGAAGAAGGCUUUCGGGUUGUAAACUUCUUUUCUGAGGGACGAAGAAAGUGACGGUACCUCCGGAAUAAGCCACGGCUAACUACGUGCCAGCAGCCGCGGGAAUACGUAGGUGGCAAGCGUUCUGCGGAUUUAUUGGGUGUAAAGGGCGUGUAGGCGGGAAAGCAAGUCAGAUGUGAAAACUCAGGGCUCAACCCUGAGCCUGCAUUGGACACUGUUUUUCUUGAGUGCUGGAGAGGCAAGCGGAAUUCCUGGUGUAGCGGUGAAAUGCGUAGAUAUACGGAGGAACACCAGUGGCGAAGGCGGAUUGCUGGACAGUAACUGACGCUGAGGCGCGAAAGCGUGGGGAGCAAACAGGAUUAGAUACCCCUGUAGUC